Long non-coding RNA from Peromyscus eremicus (cactus mouse), 970 nucleotides. RefSeq lists it as uncharacterized. The transcript has 3 exons. NCBI's taxonomy places the organism in Eukaryota, Metazoa, Chordata, Mammalia, Rodentia, Cricetidae. The record is from RefSeq and is a predicted model, not a curated record.
UUUCACAGAUGUUUAUUUUGGUUCAAAUUUUCUUUUCAUUUCUUUCAAAACAUUAUUUUCAGCCUCUUUUAUUAUCUCCAAGUGUACUGAUGCCAUAUCCUUUGAAGCUUUCUAUACUCCCUAUAUUUUCUCUGUCCUGUCUGAAUUCCUUUCUUUUGCUUGCUUAAUUUGGUGGCUCUCAUGUUUAGUGUUCUACUCAGUUGUCUGGUCAUCCUUGAGUCCUGCCUGUGGUUAAAGUCUGUUACAUGUAUUGGGAGCUUGCUGACAAAUAUGAAAUGGGAAGAAGUAAAGUGAAGAGUCUGACAGGAGAAAGAAGAAAGUGGGAAAUGAGUUGCAUUUUGUCCCUCUGUGGACAGUUCUGGUGAGAGCGCAUCUUCCUAAGAUCAUGAGGAUUGCUGCAGUGUGCUAAAUGAGGGUAGAGAAUUUCAAAUCCACAAGCACAUUCACAGUCAUCGCCCUGACAGAGCAGCAGCUGGCCUUCAUGGCCUAAAGUAGAAAGGUCUACCAAGGUCUCCUAGGCCUGGGUUGAUGCCGGAGGAUGAGACCUUCCUGAAAGAACUGCCAGAGCAGGUGACAGAUCUUGAUGGGAUAAUGAGCCUCUGAGCCUCGGCCAGAGUUUGCUUACAUGGUUCUGCUGACAGCCUGACUAUACAUUCAAACCUGGCCACUCUCCCAAACAACUGUGAUACUCUUCCUGGACCCUGUCUGUGCCUAGACAAACCUAUGAUUGAUCACUGUCUACUGAGGCUGUCUCCUGCCUGCAGUUUGCCUGGCUCUGACAUUUAUCCUCUGGAUGCCACUCUUAUGAGCUGGAGGCUGCCCAGACCUGGCAGAUGCUGCCUUGUCACACUUCUCUCCUGGUCUUGCUCACAGCCUCACCUGUGCCAGCCUGCUGUGAUGGAUUAGAGCUGCUACCUUUGGCUUUUUCCUAGGAUCUAGCCUCAUUCUCAUUAAAGUCAUUCAUAAGCAA